Egretta garzetta (little egret) is the source of this 119-nucleotide long non-coding RNA. RefSeq lists it as uncharacterized. The record is from RefSeq and is a predicted model, not a curated record. Lineage: Eukaryota; Metazoa; Chordata; Aves; Pelecaniformes; Ardeidae. The transcript has 3 exons.
CCAUUGUUGAUGGGCUUGGCCUUGGCCAGCAGCAGACACAGGGGAAGCUUCUGGCAUCUUCUCACAGAAGCCACCCCUAUAGACCCCCUGCUACCAAAAGCUCACCAUGCAAGCCCAAU